AACGAACGCUGGCGGCAUGCCUAACACAUGCAAGUCGAACGAGACCUUCGGGUCUAGUGGCGCACGGGUGCGUAACGCGUGGGAAUCUGCCCUUGGGUUCGGAAUAACUCAGAGAAAUUUGAGCUAAUACCGGAUGAUGACGAAAGUCCAAAGAUUUAUCGCCCAGGGAUGAGCCCGCGUAAGAUUAGCUUGUUGGUGGGGUAAUGGCCUACCAAGGCGACGAUCUUUAGCUGGUCUGAGAGGAUGAUCAGCCACACUGGGACUGAGACACGGCCCAGACUCCUACGGGAGGCAGCAGUGGGGAAUAUUGGACAAUGGGCGCAAGCCUGAUCCAGCAAUGCCGCGU
Molecule: ribosomal RNA, 346 nt
Filed under: uncultured bacterium
Lineage: Bacteria
Description: bacterial SSU rRNA
Rfam family: Bacterial small subunit ribosomal RNA
Source: RNAcentral